RNAcentral lists this ribosomal RNA (508 nucleotides) under uncultured bacterium. RNAcentral's name for it is "partial 16S ribosomal RNA". It matches the Rfam family "Bacterial small subunit ribosomal RNA", at positions 28 to 507 of the family's 1533-position model. The record is from RNAcentral.
GACGAACGCUGGCGGCGUGCCUAAUACAUGCAAGUCGAACGCUUCUUUCCUCCCGAGUGCUUGCACUCAAUUGGAAAGAGGAGUGGCGGACGGGUGAGUAACACGUGGGUAACCUACCCAUCAGAGGGGGAUAACACUUGGAAACAGGUGCUAAUACCGCAUAACAGUUUAUGCCGCAUGGCAUAAGAGUGAAAGGCGCUUUCGGGUGUCGCUGAUGGAUGGACCCGCGGUGCAUUAGCUAGUUGGUGAGGUAACGGCUCACCAAGGCCACGAUGCAUAGCCGACCUGAGAGGGUGAUCGGCCACACUGGGACUGAGACACGGCCCAGACUCCUACGGGAGGCAGCAGUAGGGAAUCUUCGGCAAUGGACGAAAGUCUGACCGAGCAACGCCGCGUGAGUGAAGAAGGUCUUCGGAUCGUAAAACUCUGUUGUUAGGGAAGAACAAGGACGUUAGUAACUGAACGUCCCCUGACGGUAUCUAACCAGAAAGACACGGCUAACUACGUG